Molecule: ribosomal RNA, 245 nt
Filed under: uncultured bacterium
Lineage: Bacteria
Description: partial 16S ribosomal RNA
Rfam family: Bacterial small subunit ribosomal RNA
Source: RNAcentral
UACGUAGGCAGCAAGCGUUGUUCGGAAUUACUGGGCGUAAAGAGUGUGUAGGUGGUGCUCCAAGUCUGUUGUGAAAUCUCCCGGCUUAACUGGGAGGGUGCGGCGGAAACUGGAAUGCUUGAGGAUGGGAGAGGAAAGCGGAAUUCCUGGUGUAGCGGUGAAAUGCGUAGAUAUCAGGAGGAACACCCGUGGUGUAGACAGCUUUCUGGACCAUUUCUGACACUGAGACACGAAAGCGUGGGUAG